This 323-nucleotide ribosomal RNA is filed under the name uncultured eukaryote. RNAcentral's name for it is "partial 18S ribosomal RNA". It matches the Rfam family "Eukaryotic small subunit ribosomal RNA", at positions 1470 to 1796 of the family's 1831-position model. The record is from RNAcentral.
CCCUUAGAUGUUCUGGGCCGCACGCGCGCUACACUGACGAUGGCAACGAGUUUUUCCUUCGCCGAAAGGUGUGGGUAAUCUUUUGAAACAUCGUCGUGCUGGGGAUAGAUCAUUGCAAUUUUUGAUCUUGAACGAGGAAUUCCUAGUAAACGCAAGUCAUCAGCUUGCAUUGAUUACGUCCCUGCCCUUUGUACACACCGCCCGUCGCACCUACCGAUCGAAGGUAAUGAUGAGCCCUCAGGAUUGUGGCCUCGUCGCGUCAGCGUCUUGGCUGCGAGAAUCUGUGCAAAUCCCUACCUUUAGAGGAAGGUGAAGUCGUAACA